UAAUUAGAGCAGUAAAAUGAAAUGUUUUGUCUUAGCCAUGGUAUACGGUGUGAUAUACCAUGGCUGUCAGCCAAUCAGCAUUUAGGGCUCGAACCACCCAGUAUAUAAUUACAUUUAUAACAUAAAUAUACAGAAAUAAUACUCGUAUCUGUUUAACAGGGAUGUGCUUGAAAAUACAAAAAAUGAGAAAUAGAGACAGAACCUGUCUUUACAGUGAGUGAAUUCAAUUGGAAUAAAAAGCUUUACUCAUAGCUUUAACUUCAUUCAGGAUGAAAAGCUAUACAGUGUCGGAAAGAGCGAUAUUAUAAACUGAGUGGUUUGAGCCCUGAAUGCUGAUUGGCUGACAGCCGUGGUAUAUCAAACCGUAUACCGCAGGUAUGACAAAACAUGUACUUUAACUGCUCUAAUUACGUUGGUAACCAGUUUAUAAUAGCAAUAAGGCACCUUGGGGGUUUGGGGUAUAUGGCCAAUAUACCACAGCUAAGAGCUGUAUCCAGGCACUCGGCGUUGCGUCGCGCAUAAGCACAGCCCUUAGCCAUGAUAUAUCGGCCAUAUACCACAACCCCCCGUGCCUUAUUACUUAAAUAUACACCUUGAUGACUGUCUGCAAAUUCUUCUUGGCGUUACUCUGUUGCACCCUCUUGGACACAGCUGUGUAAUACUUUCGUCUUGACUGAUAUCGAAAGCUGUUGUGAUAUUAGAGUGCAGCUUUGUAGAAUAUGUCUGUGUUUCGCAGUGUGCUGGUCUGAGUAUUUGACCAUUUAGAUAAGGUUCCCUAAGAUUUUAGUUAGAUCCGUAUACAGUCAUACACAGACAACUAAAACAUGCACCCAAAUAUUAAUACACACACAAUGUAUGUCCAAUGGCAUCUGUUCCCCGGGCGCCGAUGACGUGGAUGUCGAUUAAGGCAGCCCCCCGCACCUCUCUGAUUCAGAGGGGUUGGGUUAGAUGUGGAAGAUACAUUUCAGUUGAAUGCAUUCAGUUGUACACUUGACUAGGUAUCCCCCUUUCCUUAUGUAAGGAAGGAGUGUAGAGCAGUUGUACACCUGACUAGGUAUCCCCCUUUCCUUAUGUAAGGAAGGAGUGUAGAGCAGUUGUACACCUGACUAGGUAUCCCCCUUUCCUUAUGUAAGGAAGGAGUGUAGAGCAGUUGUAAUUGUUGUUUGUGAGGUUCUUCUUCCACUUUGGCUUUUCUCUGAUUCAUAUGCUAUCACUGAAUUGGAACAAUAUACAUCAGUCUCCAUUAUCAGGUACAAAACAGGAAACACAUUUGUCAAAUCAUAUACAAUUCCUACCCAAUAAAUGUACCUUUUCUUUCUCGUUUUUGACGUAAAAGUGGAAAGCAUAAUGGUCCACCAGAAAAGCACACUCUCAUUAGGCUACACUUUGACAAUGUGGGGGAAAAUGGAUUGAAAUUCAUAAAGUUUCUAUUGUCCUCGGCCCAUCAAAGCUAUACCAACAGAUAUCUUUCAAUGUCUGUUGUUAGAUGGCCUUAUAAUGCUAUUAGGAUUAAUAUCGAUGUUAUUCUUUGGAUAGCAAUGAGUGCAUAGCCUAUUUCUGGUUUGUACUGUACGUACAAUAAUUCAUCAUUGUUUAUUCUCUACCUAGAGCCCAAGAUUGAUAUACAGUAAAGGUUGGCGGAUGCAGAUAGAAGCCCACUGGGCACAGACAUUAUUUCAACAUCUAGUUUUGAUAUACAUUUGGUUGAGUUGUCGACUUAUGUAAAUGCAAAACGUUUACCAUGUCAUUGGAUUUAGGUUCAAAGCUGGGUGAAAAAAUGUGCAAAUCCAAUCAGUUUUCCACAUUGAUUCAUUGUCAUCACAUUGAAUUGUUUUGUUGAAAUUACAUGGAAAGAACAUUGAUGCAACCAGUUUUUGCCCAGUGGGAGGUGAUACAAAGUAAUGAGGGGUUUUUAAUGUAGCUCCUUACGCUGGUCAAUUGCCAGUCCAGACCUCUUAGCUCUCUAGUCCUGAGAGAGCUACUCCAUGCUUGCUAUGCUGUAUGGGGUGUUACUAUGGUGACCGAUGGUUGAAAGUAGUACAUGGUCGGGUCAUCUCUACAGUUACCCCAAGCAUUACGGGUCAAAUAAGCUUGUUGUGUGUCAUCAUCUCAUUCACACAGAGAUUUGUCUGGUUGACCUAAACCAGGACUAGUCAUUGGUCUUGUAUAUCGUCUCAGGGUGCCAAGCAUUUUAUUUCUCCAUUUCUGAAUCUGUAGCAGACUUUUGUACUGUAGCUGGUUUCUGGCUGUGUUUGAGUGUCUGAAAGUUUAGCUCACUUCUAACCUCUGGUCUUAUACUCCUGAAGCUAAUUUCUACAAAUGCGGAAUAAUAAGCUUUGCACAAUACAGAUCAAAGUCAUUAAGAGCUGCAGAGAGAGUACUCAAUACAUUGGAGUAAACAUACAUAUAUAUUUGAAUUCUGUUUUGGUAGUAAAUACAUUUUUUUUCUCUCUCUCAAGUUCCUUUACCUCUGCAGUUUUUUACAAGCCAAAACUCAAAAAACAGUAAUGUUAUUUGAUUUGUUAGCUGGCUAUGGUAAUUAGUUGGUGGAUAUUUGUUGGAAAGCUAGAUGCAUUGAAUUCAUUAUCUUUUUCAGAGGCUUUUGUGCUGUAUUCAUUUCUCGUUUUGUUUCACUGUUUUGUUUGUUUUAGUUGUUUUUGUGUGCUGCUUUGAAAGAAAAAACACUGUCUCUCCAACUCCAAAGGUUGUUCUUUUGAAAAGAUGAACAAAGCUUGCCUUUUUCACAAAUUGCUCAACUUUAUAAUAUAAUAUACUGGUAUCCUGAUUGAAUGCACAAGCUGAGAUCAUUUUAGGAGUAAAAGAAACGUUUGAUAUGUUUACAAAACGGUAUCACAUGUCAUGAUGUGUUUAUUACAUUUGCCAUGUAAAUAGAAAUUGUUAGGUUAAAAUUGGACUGAAGGUUAGUUUUCUGUAAACAAAAAAAUGAUGUGUUUUCUCAACUUGUCUUUUCAUUCAACUGGGGAUGUUUCAGAGUUACAUGGAUACAAGUGCACCUCCAAUUUUUGCCUUAGAACUUGCAGAGGCCAUAGUUCACAUUCAAGUGAAGUGAGUGUAUGCAGGGGCCUACGCCCCCCCCCCAUCCCCGAGUCACACCCAGUGCGCACACUUAUCUACCUGUGAAAUCCUUCAUACCUCUCAUUACUGGUCAAUGACUGUAUCAGCAAACUUCAUCAGGUGUUUUUUCUACAUGCUUUUUACACAGAUUAUAUGGAUUAUUGUAUUAGUAGAUUUUGGUUCAUUAUUUUUAAUGUAAAAGCUCUUUUACAUAAUUUCUUCUCUCGUUUUUCUAGAACAGUUUUUUGUUAAUAUUGUCAAUUUGAAAUAGCUGUAAUUUGCUUAUUCUCUAUUAAGAGUUCUUACCCUUUUCAUUUUGAAAUGCUACACGACCCUAAUGAAUUAAAAUGACUUAUUAACCAUUUUAAACACGGUAUUGUGCAAACCCCAUUUUCAUUCAUUUCAAUUGCUAGCGUUAUAUAAAUGACAUUUUUGUCUAGACACCAUUUCUGUUUAUGAAAUAAAGAAACAUAUCAUGUG
Molecule: long non-coding RNA, 3555 nt
Organism: Oncorhynchus tshawytscha (Chinook salmon)
Lineage: Eukaryota; Metazoa; Chordata; Actinopteri; Salmoniformes; Salmonidae
Exons: 2
Source: RefSeq, a predicted model, not a curated record